GUAGGUGAACCUGCGGAAGGAUCAUUACAGAGUUCAUGCCCGAAAGGGUAGACCUCCCACCCUUGUGUAUUAUUACCUUGUUGCUUUGGCGAGAUAUCGUUAGGCCUUUAAAUCCUGACGCUCGCCAGAGAAUAACCAAACCCUUUUUAUUAAUAUCGUCUGAGUAAUUUAUAAUAGUUAAAACUUUCAACAACGGAUCUCUUGGUUCUGGCAUCGAUGAAGAACGCAGCAUCUGACUGACUCGGGCAUA
Molecule: unclassified non-coding RNA, 250 nt
Filed under: plant metagenome
Description: partial contains small subunit ribosomal RNA, internal transcribed spacer 1, and 5.8S ribosomal RNA
Source: RNAcentral